Molecule: long non-coding RNA, 255 nt
Filed under: Mytilus galloprovincialis (Mediterranean mussel)
Lineage: Eukaryota; Metazoa; Mollusca; Bivalvia; Mytilida; Mytilidae
Source: RNAcentral
AAGCGUACAAAACUUUCAGUGUUCUCCCCAGAAAUUUUGGAUAGCAUCACAUUUUGCGUAAAUAAAAAUAACUGUAUUUUUUUUAAUUUCGUUUGUCGCGUCGCGUUGAUGCUCUAUUUCUUUAAUAUGUUUUAGUUUAUAUUGUUCAAUUCAUAACUGAGAAUACAAUUAAACUAUAACCACAAAAACAGUUGUUUCAGUUUAUGUUUUCUUUAUUCAUUUAUAGUUACAGAAUUAUUUUUUUCCUCUUGUGCC